RNAcentral lists this ribosomal RNA (486 nucleotides) under uncultured bacterium. Its description in RNAcentral is "partial 16S ribosomal RNA". It matches the Rfam family "Bacterial small subunit ribosomal RNA", at positions 30 to 507 of the family's 1533-position model. The record is from RNAcentral.
AUUGAACGCUGGCGGCAUGCCUUACACAUGCAAGUCGAACGGCAGCACGGGUGCUUGCCCCUGGUGGCGAGUGGCGAACGGGUGAGUAAUACAUCGGAACAUGUCCUGUAGUGGGGGAUAGCCCGGCGAAAGCCGGAUUAAUACCGCAUACGAUCUACGGAUGAAAGCGGGGGACCUUCGGGCCUCGCGCUAUAGGGUUGGCCGAUGGCUGAUUAGCUGGUUGGGGGGGUAAAGGCCUACCAAGGCGACGUGCAGUAUCUGGUCUGAGAGGACGACCAGCCACACUGGGACUGAGACACGGCCCAGACUCCUACGGGAGGCAGCAGUGGGGAAUUUUGGACAAUGGGCGAAAGCCUGAUCCAGCAAUGCCGCGUGUGUGAAGAAGGCCUUCGGGUUGUAAAGCACUUUUGUCCGGAAAGAAAUCCUUGGCCCUAAUACGGUCGGGGGAUGACGGUACCGGAAGAAUAAGCACCGGCUAACUACGUG